Molecule: unclassified non-coding RNA, 237 nt
Filed under: Claussenomyces sp.
Lineage: Eukaryota; Fungi; Ascomycota; Leotiomycetes; Leotiales; Tympanidaceae
Description: partial contains small subunit ribosomal RNA, internal transcribed spacer 1, and 5.8S ribosomal RNA
Rfam family: Eukaryotic small subunit ribosomal RNA (bases 1-46)
Source: RNAcentral
AAGUCGUAACAAGGUCUCCGUAGGUGAACCUGCGGAGGGAUCAUUACAGAGAACAUGCCCUUCGGGGUAGAUCUCCCACCCUUUGUUUACAAUACCUUUGUUGCUUUGGCAGGCCCGCCUCCGGGCCGCCGGCUUCGGCUGGCCAGCGUCUGCCAGAGGAAUCAAAACUCUUAUUAUUCUUGUCGUCUGAGUACUAUUUAAUAGUUAAAACUUUCAACAACGGAUCUCUUGGUUCUG